UUAUGGUUGAUCUAUCUACACUUACACCACCACAAAGAAAAGUUAUUGGAGACAACCGUGCAAGAUUCACUAGCUUUGUGGCCUUACUUGAUAGAAGUAAGGUUAGUAUUCUUAUUGACAAAUGGGACCAUGUUCUUGAAGAAGUAAAGAACCAAAUAUGGCAAAAUAUCAUGUUAUGAAAAUCUUAACUUAACUUCCACAAUUAUUAGAAAAUUUGUAAAUAUAACAUUCAUGUACCUAUUAUGUAGCUAACAUAUGACAUCCCAAACAACAAAUUAUUGAGAAGUAAAUGGAUAUGAUAUGCUGGGCAAUGGUGGGGGGUUUCAAGACUGACCUUACUAGUCGGUAUAUUUAUGGUAAGUUAAGUCACAAGAAUCCUUGUGAGAUAUAUCAGUUCCUUGAUGAGGAAACGUGGCAGGCUUUUCGGGACAAACGAUUAGAACAUAUCUUUCAGG
Vigna umbellata (rice bean) is the source of this 455-nucleotide non-coding RNA. NCBI's taxonomy places the organism in Eukaryota, Viridiplantae, Streptophyta, Magnoliopsida, Fabales, Fabaceae. The record is from RefSeq and is a predicted model, not a curated record.